UUCAACUUUUAUAUGUGAUAUUUUGUACUAAUGUCAACAAUCUAUAUAUAUAUAUAUUAUAUAUAUAGAGAGAGAAAUAAAAAAGACAAAAAGAAAAAGGAAAAGAUGUCAUUCUAAUUGAUCUAAGCUUGAUGUGGACAUUAUUAGAAUCUUGAAUUGUGGUGUGCCCAUUAGGUUCCACAAAGAAUGAAACUCUAUGGGAAUAUAAAAUUGUAGGCAAAAAGAAGCCAAGGAGUAAAGAUGGGGUUAAUGGCUCUUCAAUUUUCUUUUCAAACCAAACAAUAUAUAUAUAUAUAUAUAUAUUUCUUUGUUCUUCUGAAUUUAAAUCAUCAAUCUCCAAGUAAAGCUCUUAGCAUCUCCACCAACCAAAAAAAGAAACCUAAUGCCUAGGAGGAGCUAAGGGCUGA
Molecule: long non-coding RNA, 407 nt
Filed under: Carica papaya (papaya)
Lineage: Eukaryota; Viridiplantae; Streptophyta; Magnoliopsida; Brassicales; Caricaceae
Description: long non-coding RNA (CPAP_LNC004978)
Source: RNAcentral